This 269-nucleotide long non-coding RNA is filed under the name Helianthus annuus (common sunflower). Its description in RNAcentral is "sRNA HanXRQr2_Chr07g0292251". Lineage: Eukaryota; Viridiplantae; Streptophyta; Magnoliopsida; Asterales; Asteraceae. The record is from RNAcentral.
AUGCCAAAAAUGCUUGGGGCUUCGAUCGGAGAACGUAAAGCCCAUUUUCACAUCUUCCUUGUGCUAUUACCUGCUUCGUUGCUCGAUCCUAAAACAACCAUCAAGUACUGAUCUGGCACCGCUUAAAGUGGCGCAGCUUCGUAUUGAACUAGCUGCAAAGUCAAAACAACUGACGCAGUCCCUUGUCGACAUAUACUUCCUGCACUGAGCCAUUACAUAAACCGUCACCGAAUUUCUUGCAAGUUCUGAGGUUGCAAAGUAAGUGUUAU